UAAAAUUGUUUAAAUUAGACGUUUUAUUUUUUAAUUUUCAUUUGAAUUUAUUUCAAAAUUAAAUCAAGGGGUUGUUUCAAUAAGUUUAAUCAGUUUUAAACAGUUUCUAGCAUCAAAAAAUUAUACAAUAUUUCAUUUUGAUAUAUGCAAGAAAUUUCGGAAACAUAGGCACAUGCUUUAAAAUUUUCAAUUUUUGUACAUUUUUUAAAAGAACAUAUAAUAGUCAUUGUUACAGUCAAUUAAAUGCAUUAAUGACGCUGUCAAAUCCGUAUUGACGAUCUGCGAUCGGCGUAUUCGCAUAAUUUCCGGCUCUUUAGUUUCGAAAGCUUGCCCGCUUGCAAAAUUUUUAGGUUAAGAUAUCGAGUAUUUUUAUACCGUACUUUGCCUGAAACAUUCUUCACGGAAGCCGCAUUGAGAUGGCAGAUUGUUUUUCAUUUUCGAUGAAUCUUUCCAUGAUGGAUUUAUUACAUUAAGGCGUGAACAGUACUCGAAGACGUAAAAUAUAAAAUAUUGGCUUUUAAUUCAGAGCUUCGUGUACAUCGUGCGUUAACAAAGUCAUUAACAAAGACGCUGUUUUUACCGCAGCCCACGCUUGCCAAUCCCCGGCACGCGUAUAUCGCAACGCCGGCGGAAACAUCCAAUGAGCGGCGACAAUACCGCCGUGUACGCAUCUUAACCAAUAAGGAUCUAUCUUACACGUUCCGCAUACCGUUUCAUGUCGAGUGUUUGUUGACGUUUUUUCCGUCGCCGGCACGCGCCGGCACGCGCUGGCACGCGCCGAGGCGCCAGGACGUCUCCUUUUCCCCGAAAUGCCGAUUCUCAAGUGGCCAAUCAGCUACUCGCUUCUCCCAUAAUUUUGCCCUUUCCUAUCAUCCAACCGCUUCCCUAAGCAGCUCAGGGUAUCGAUUAUGUAAUUUUUCCCUUAGGGCAAAAACGUGAAAAGUGAAAAUUUUCAAGUUACUGUCUCUUUCUAUUCAACAUUAAUAGAAGGAGAUAGUUACAUAAAACUUUUCACUUUUCACGUUUCCGCCCUAAGGAAAAAGUUAAGGUUUGUUUUUUAUUCCUGCACUGCUGCACUAGUGCAAUAAGUUAGAAUAAGAAAAAAUAUAUUUGUCUUAUGCCCGAUUUCUUCACUUCCCGAUAAAGUUAUUCGGAGGAUAAAUAUCAAGUUUAACCAAUCACGUGCAUGGAUCUGAUAGUUUAUCUCCUGGAUAAUUUUAACCGCAAGAUAACUGAACGUGAAGAAAUCGGGCAUUAUUCUAACUUAUUGCACCAGUGCAGCAGUGCAGAAAUAAAAAAGACCUUUACAUGAUUGCUGCCCAGUUCCGUCGCGAGGACAUGGGUGUAUGGUUGCAUCGAUUACGCUUUGCGAACGCAUGAUUUUUCCGUUCAUCGAUCAUUCUCGUUUAUUACUCCAUGCCAUGUUCUGAGACUACGGAAACAUCGUACGCGUGGAAUUCGCGCAAUCUAAGGCCGAAUAUUGAAUUCCGUGUCGUUCGCUCCCGUUUCUCUGUAUUUUCGAACGAAUCGUUGAAACGUCGCAUCAAUCAUUGUCGACAUCCGCUCCUCGGUUUCCGUGCACUUGUCGCAUGUAAAAGUCUGCGGUCUGAUUACGGCUAAACGCUCGCGUUUGAAAGGAAGGUAUGCAUUUAAUUGAGAAUAAUUCGUAGAAACGCGUGCUUGACGAGUCUGUAACGUAAGCUCGUACAUAGAGAUCAAGGGGGAUCGACAAUCCUCAUUUCGAUUCGGCAUUCUAACCUCAGCCUGACUCGCGUCGUAUGGCGCGCAGGAAAUAUGGCGGGAAAUCGCUGGAAAGUUACCGACGUGAAGUUGCCGCCGUCGAAACUUCGCGCCAAAGGAACGCCAUCGUCACUUCGCGGAGAGACGCAACGGAUCGUGCGGGGCCGUGGAGGUCUCGAAUCGCGGACUUAUUUAAUCGGGAAAUACGUGCAAUCAGUAUUCGUGUAUUCCUUGCAUUUCAGUAAUUAGCUCUCGCGUGUAAGUGCGCGUGCAUGUGUGUGUGUGUGUGAGGUUACGACGAAGCAGCGAAGGAUUCCGAGAGGAGAAACCGUUCCGUGUGCCUGGGAGACGUCGGGUGAUGGCGGGGCGAGCGCGGAGGAGGGUGAGUAACCUCUCAUUUACUUGUUAUUUACUCGCACGAUACUAUUAAUCGCUCGUGACACACGUCGCGUGUGUCGUCGAUUGUUUUACAAUCUCGCUGCAGCGUUUUACGUCGAAGGAUGAAUAAAUCUUCCCGUUUCUGUCUAUCUUUCUUCUGUGCGAAUAUUAUUCCGCAGUAGCUUUGAAGCUCAAGGUUUGUUAGUUUCUGUAAACGAUGUAAGAUCAUGGUAAAUGUGAAGUUUCAUUCGUAAGUUUCUGUCUCUUAUACAUAAAUAUCGUUAGCUGGGAUGCCGGUAUCGACGAUCACGUUGUAGGGAGGAGGCGAGGGCGGGAUGGGAAAGUAUUAUCGACGAUGAAAGUUAGAUGUGUCGCGCUUGUUUCGUGGGAAAGAAGGUGUUCGCAUGAGCGCCAUUUUGGAGCUACGAAGUAAUGUGUGUGUGUGUGUGUGUGUGUUGUACGAGAGAAUGAGUGAGAGUAGUAAAAGUGGAAGGUGGAAUUGAUAUAUCGUAUUGGCUCCGGAAUGUUAGGGCCAAAUAUGUAAAUAUGAAUGCGAAGACCUUCUUUUCCCUCUCGUCAUUCAUCUACCUUGUCUCGAACGAGUCGCGUUUUAUUUAGCAUUCGUGGCUUGCCUGAAAGAAUUUCGUGUUUUUCAUGAAAUUGAUUAAGAUGUUAAAAGUAAGUGCUCGAGUCUCGCUUGCCUCUAAUGCACUCUCUUCGACAUGGUCCUUACCAUCAAAGUCGUUUCCCUUUCCCGUUAUUUCCGAAUUUUCGGAAAAAGUAUAAACUAUAGAAAGUAUCAAUUUAUUGAAAGCAAAAAAAAUGUCCUUUUAUUGUCGCUUUUAAUAAAAUUGACAGGUGCUUCUGUAUUAAGUAAUUGAAAGUUUCAAAAUAUUUGCAAUUGAACAAUUUAAAUUCUACGUUGACUUAAAUUAUAUUAUAAAGUUGUAUUAUAAAGUCACUAUUUCAUAUUUUCAGAUUAUAUGAUUGGCAGACCAUGAAUCGGGAAGAUGUUCAAGGUAAAAAAUCAAGAAUCUAAUACUCAGCGAGAAUUUGAAAGACGAUUGAAGGAUAUUAUUGUGCAAUUUGCAGAGCAAGGUCUGAAUGCUGCAAAUAUAUUAUGAGAAUCCAGAUCCUAGGGAAUAUGUGCAUCAUUAAUUCCUAUACCAGUGCUAUAACAGGGCGAAGCUAUGGGCAACCUCCUGCUGGCAUUAAUAGUUGAUGUCUGCCAAGGUCCUGUCUCUAAAAGAUUAAUGUAUAGCAAAGAGCUUCAGGCCACUGUACUGGAAAUCAAAGCAUUGCCUGCACUUGAUAGACAGUAUUCUAAAAAUUGCUGUUAAAGAUCUAGAAAAGGCCAUUGCUGGUACGUAAUCUAUUUUUAUUAAUAAGAUUAAUUCUUUUAUUUUGUAAUAUAUAAAAUAUAUAUUACAAAAUAUAUAAAAUACAUGUACUUUUUACAAACAUUUUUAAAAAUAACACAAUAUUGUGAUAUUUGUAUACAGGUUUAAAUCUGCAAGUUGCGCAGAAACCAGAUGAAGUAGAUGUUAUGAAAGAAGAAAUAGCAAAGGAAUUAUCUAGUGUUCUAGGAAAUGUACGAUUAACUGAAAGAAAGGUUUACGUCUAAGCGUCAUUCUUGGGGAUCCUUAAAGCGUUCGAUUUUCAUAAAAAGCAGUAAGAUACCGGUAAGUACCUAUUUACAGAUUGUAAAGUUCCGAUCGAACGAGUUAUCCUCGGCCACGAGUAUCUAACAUAAAAUUUAAAGGGUUUUUCAGAAGUUGAUUUAUAAUUUUUGUUAAAUUAUGCUGUUUAUGUUUUCUUGCUGAAAACUAUAUUUCUGCUAUAUAACUAUAUUUUUGCGCUUAGAUCUUAUAGACUUUUCUUGUCCUUAUUUCACUCCCACGCGCAAUGUAACAAGUAACUCACUCACCGGAGACGAUUGAACGAGUCUGUCUUUUUCGUGUGCGAUCACCAAGCCGACUCUCGAGCCGCUCAGGCUCCAUACUGUUGUCUCAUUUGUUAUCUCCUCCAGAGACCGGAUCUUUCGAGAAUUUUCUAUAACCGCCACGGUUUAUUACAUAUAAUAUAUUAUUCGGUCGAUCAUUGGAAAUUUUCUAUUUCCUAUGCAUUCCGACACGCUCGGUGCAUUCGUGCAGUUCUCUAUCGUCGUAUGGAUUUUAUGGGGAUUUUAUUGAUUUAAUUUUUAAUUCAAAUAAUUUAAUAUAGUUUUAUUAUAUACAAUUACAUUUAUUUUGCAAUUUUUAUAUAUUAUUUAAUUUAAUUUCUAUUUCAUAAUUUUUCUAUUCUUUAAAAUUGUUUUAUUCAUUUCAAAUGUGUGCUUUGGAACUUAGAUUAAAUUAGAUUAAAUUAUAAUAAAUUAUUUCUAAUAUCAUAAAUUUAGAUUAAAUUGAAAAGUAAAAUUUUAUAAACUAAACAAUGGAAGUUUACCUUUUUAAUAAUAUCUUUUAUUGUUUGAAUUUACUUGUUCAACGAUGCAUGUAAAAUGAUAAUGCUCUGUGUGAAAAUUACAUUUUAUAACUUGUACAAUGUUAUUAAUGAGAUGCAUUUUGCUUUUAUAUAUGGCAUUUCGCUUUUAUAGAUAGAGCAUUUGAUAAAACAAAGAUGAGUCGAAUUAAAUUUCGCAAUUUAAUAUUGUGGCUGAUCAAUAUUUAUUAUAAAUAUUAAUUUUUAAUGUAUAAACAUGAUAGUUUUAUGAAAAUAUUAUUCGUGUUUAUUAUUUUUUAAUUACAAAUAAUAUUGUAACUAAGUUUACGGUUAUCUAGCAGUUUACAAUUUCUCAACUAGCCACUGUGUGUCAGAGUAUAUUCCAUUGAAUAGCUCUGUUAUUUCACGUAUAGCUCUGUUUUAUCACGCAUUUUUCUUGUUUGGUUGAUCGAUAAUCAUAAUAUGUUAGUGUGUUAGGUCUGAGAGCCUCUCUGAUGCCCGUUGGCAUUCCAUGUUGCUAUUCUAAAAUUGUGUGUUAUUUUCUUUUUCUCUUACCGUUUUUAUCUUUGAUAUUUUCCAGUUUAUUCUCUAAUAACUUUUUUAGACUGUCAAAUAUCAAUUUAUUUGUUUCGGAUUGCUCAUUUUACAGAGGACAAGUAUAAGUAAUUCUGUAUUCACAGCAUUCACCCUAUCACUGCUUCUGUUGUCUGUUGUUACCACUUGGGCGUUGGUUUUGUUUGUCCUCGAAGUCUUCUGGGUCCUUUUUGUUCCUCAAUUUAUUUUUUAGUUGUCGGUUAGAUUGUAGAUUCGUAAGCAGGUUGCGUCUUUUUUGAGGUUCUUUUGCUACCUCGCAACUUCUAUAAUUUGGGGGGUAUGAUCCUUUGAUUUGUCUUUAUGGCCAGAUUUAAUUGUUGCAGAUCAAAUUAUCAACAUAGUAGCCCGUCAAUAAUCUAAGUUAAUUACGUUGCGAUAUCGAAAUAAUAUAUUGACAGUAAAAUAACGUUCUGAGCAAAAAAGGAUCGUGACAAAUUGAAAAUAAAUCGAGAACGAAGGAACCGUGUAAGCAACGGAGAGGUCUUCAAUUCGGAGCAAAGCGCACAGAGACCGAUGCAAAGAAGCGUCGCUCACGGGGUUAUGGUGGGGUUCAAACGAAUGUCUUUUAAUUAGAGCAGAGCGAGACUUUACAAAACGUGACAUAGCACUCCCGCCGCGCCUGGCGGUGCCUCAACUCUCAAAUGUGUAACGCGACACGCCCGUUGCACUUUUUUUUUCGCUCGCGUUUGCGCCAAUUUGCAGCGCGACUGUCGUCGGGUAUAUGCACACGAGCACAAAAAGGAAAAAAAAAACAGGGCGCGGCGGCCAUUCUCUUUAAUAUGUCUCUACGAUACUUGCGGAUGAUGCCUGCAUUUCUACGUAGCCGUCACAACUGACGUAAGGUACAGGCGCGCCAUAAUAAAAGCCAGCCCGAACGAUCCCCUUCGAGCCACUCCGCGCUGAAGUAGACGUAGUAAUCUAGUUUAAAAGUACGGCAGGAGAAAGAUAGCGUAGUCUAUUUCACCCGCGAGGCCAUCAACGUGACGGUGACGUUCACGCGUUUGUUGAGAAAAAAAGAAUACAUAUAUUGUAUCUCGCACGUGACGGAUACAUUCUUGUAGCGCGCUGAUUCGCCAACGUUAUUUCUGCUCUAUUUCCGAAAAAAGCGAAACACCCCUUACCUCGAUGACAUGUAAAUAGCGUCGCGCGCCGUACCGGAUGAAAUUAAUCGCACGAAUGCAUCAAUGCCUCGAGGCGAGAGAGGCAAUCAAUCGAUUAGUAGUAGUAGUAGUAGUAGUACCCGGUCGCCUGGACGAUGGACGCGGACAAAUUUGCAUUCUGUCGCCAUCGACACGAUUGCACGGAAACGGGAGCCGAAAGAAUGGCUAAGUGUAGAGAGGAAGAGGUGAAAAAAGAAACGCGCUGAAAUAUUUAAGUCGCAGUCACCUUGUUAGCGUCUCUCGGCGCGCACGAGAUAGAAAGAGAGAGGAUGCGAUUCGAGGGUGAGUGAUUGACAGCGCUUGCAGUUUGCGUGUCAGAGGAACGGGGGUGGUGAAAGUGGUGGCGGGACGGAACGGCGGAAGCGGAAGAUAAUGGAACGCUGUUCGCUUUACGGUGAUGUCAUAAAUCGGGACGUAGCGGGCGCGUUCGUCCCAUGUAAAUCACGUUUUAUACGCUAAACCAGAAUUAUAUACAUAGCCGUGACAUACAUGCACUUACGCGCUCGUUAGCAUGCAUGUGUACGUCUCGAGCGCAAAAUCCUUUUUCAUUAAAUGUUCACCCUCCUCCCUCCUUGCCGUACGUGCGAAGAUUUGUUUUUACAUUCGGCUCGAUGCUCCGUUUCAUAGAGAUAUCUGUAAUAAAUCUGUCGGGACAGAUCAGCCGAAAAUCAUACAAAACAUUUUUCCACGUGAAAGAAGAUAAAUAUAUCGAUCGAAAAACACAGAAGCUCUUCCAUGUUAUUGAAUAAUCCAUACGAUUGUAAAAUAUGACUCUUCUCUACGUAGAAUAUACGCUUAAGGAAUCGCGAGGGGUAAGGGGGAGGCAAACGCGGGGCCCGUCGACGCGCCCGUCAAACCCGACGAAGGGGAAAGAUACGUAUUUGGCACGUGGUUUCCAUUUUGCGCGGUCCCGUGAUCGUAUAUGGUAUAUAGAGAGCCCGCACGGACGCUAAACCGCCAUGGCCACGCCGUGGACAAUGAAUUUCAGACGCUCCGUUGACGCACUCUGCACGAGUAUUUCAUGGCUGACUAUCCCCCGGACGUGAGACAUAUUGCCGUUCUCGACCGGUGGAUUUCAAUGCAGAUUUUAUGUUCGCGCCCGGCGAACACGCAUCAGCGAUUUUCGAAAAGCGCGUCAGAUAUCGGUCAGCCGAGCUCGGCAAACGAGUUUUCUGUCGCAGAGAUAUAGACAAAGAGAGAAAGAGAGGGAAAUAGACGGACAAUAAAAUAUACUCGAAAUUCACAGAAUCGAAAAUUUUAAAUGUCGAAAAAUGUCGACAAUUUAUAAUAUAAACGAUAUAAAAAUGUUGAUACGCCAUUCUUUCACCAUCUGUUGUCUCCCAUUUGGCUACUUCUGUAAUUUUAGUGUUUAUUGAGGAAAUUAUAAUCGUGUGCAGACAGACCAGAGGCUAUCAACUGCCCGAGGACAGCGACGAGAGAAAUAUCCGCGAAAAUGGUGCUCCUUUGUUAGGCGCGCGGUAACGCGCGUUAAUCGUUCAUGUGACGAUUGCGAGACGGUCUGUUAACGCAAAGCGAGCGCGAGAACAACUGGGCACAGUUGUUUGAUUAAAUACGGCGAACGUGCCAUACUAUUGUUCCUGCGCGGUCGCAAAUGCUGCUCUUAACGUCUCGCAGUUCGUUACCGAAAAGCGACGCGUAUACAAACGUCAACCCGAUUCGACGUAUGCGAGGAGAGAUGCGCGAACAGUUACGGUCUCGAUGUUUAACGUUAAUGAUUUUCCGAUUCGCUUCCCCUUUUCCUCCCCCAAGAAACAUUAGCAAAUUGAUAGUCCUCAUUAAUCUCCUUCUUAUAAAUUUGGUUAGGGCAUAGUCGCCGACGCGAUUGCUUUCUCCGCGACAAGAAGUGAAACUUUCGAGGACACGAUUCAGUCAUUAGCGCGUGAAGCUACUGUUCGUUCUUGGCAACCGGUAACUUGUUGUUAACCUCGGUAUUUUCGUCUAGCGCUAGUUACUUCUGAUUUCGAUAAUACAAGCUUUUCAGCGUGGAAUAUCAAAGCGCCGAAGUUUGCGCCGCGUGUAAAACAAACUCCGGGCAUUGCAUUCUGCAGAAAUAAUUGUUCAGCUUCCGCAUUAAUUCUUCUCUCAAGAUCUUAGAAAAUGGAAAGUGGGACUUGGUUUUGCAUAUUUUUCAUAACACCCUUUAAAACUACAAAAUUACGUGUAUUUUGUAUUACGGUUUAUGAAAUGUACCAAGAGGAUUACAGAAACAAGAAUUAAGUUAUGGAUCAGACCGCGGAAUAAUUCCUCCCCGAAGAGAGAGAGAGAGAGAGAGAGAGUGAGAGUGAGAGAGAGAGAGAGAGAGAGAGAGAGAGAGAGAGAGAGAGAGAGAGAGAGAGAGAGAGAGAGAAUUAGGAAAAACUAAACUAUGCCGAGGGAAUCGGGUAAAGUUGCGAUAAUCCAAUUGGCGGCGGACAAAAGGAGGAAAGCGUUGUAAUGGCGAAAUAGAAAAAUAUCGCGCAGCGGUGGAACAAAGUGAGAGAAGGUUUCGAAGGAAGAUUAAAGAGGGGAUUUUGUAAGUAGACGCGAGAAUUUGCUCCUGGUCUGUUGGAGAUGGCGGUGGAUCUUCUCGGAGGGGGGAGACGGGCGGCUUUGUCGGGCGAAUUCUUGUGGUUUCGGUGCAAUUACCUUGACUGAACGUUAACGACGGUUCGUAAAUCAGGAUAGAAUAGGAACAGCAAAUAUUCUAUCGGCGGCGAAAACGUCGAUUGGAAACGCCAUCGUUCUAUGAGGCUUGGGACUGGUAUAGCAGAGUUCAAAUACAUAACGGCAUUUAUUUAGAAUAAAUUACACGUAUGUAUACAUAAGGUUGUGCUUUUCUUAUUUAAUUUCGACGAGAGGGAGCUAUUAUUCUUUCACGAUUGCCCCAGCGGUUUCUUUUGCGUUCUUAUGUAGGAAAUUUAUUGCUCUUCUAUCAAACAUUCUAUCGAACGUUGUUUUGUUCCUCUCUAUACCCUUCUCGAGCAGCUGACAUAAAUUUUGAUCAGUGGCAAGAUGCCAAAAGUAAGUUCAAAGAUUGUACGAUAUACUUAUACAAUACUUGGGCAUUUUAUCUCAAUCUCAUUGUUAUGGCAACUAAGUUAUACGAUUUCUCCAACUUUGUAAUAAUUUUAAUAAAUUUAUCGUUUUACAAUAUCAAAUGCAAUGUUCGUUUAUUACAUGGUGGUUAGACCAGAGUCCAUUUAGUUCAUUUAGAUGCAACAUAAUUUAGAAUAAUGUUUACUGUUAACAUUAUUUAAUACAUAAUUACAUUUUAUUUAAUUAAAACAAUGCAUUUUAAUCUUGCCUGUUUAUUGUCCUUUGCUUAAUUAUUUUAAUAUUUUUAUGCUCUACGAUAUAACUUUAUGUAACGUUCUCGUACGCUUGAUAGGAGGCCAUAUUGCUCGAUCGCUAUGCUUAAUCUGUCUUAAAUAUUCAUUUUCGUCCCUUUAGAGAAAAUCCCUUUAGAGAAAACUGUCGCUAUUCAUUUGAUCUCAAAGUACGUUGCCUAUAUCUUCUUCCAUAAUUUCUUGUACCGGGAGACAAGGACACGAUGAUGCUAAUGAGAUUUAUUCUCUUACGUUGAGCCGCUUAUUCUUCCACGUAUCUUCAAUCUUAGGUUACAUCCCUUUAUUGCGCGUCAUACGUCGCGCUAUAUAAUUAGCGUUUCAGUAUUGUAUUUCUGACACAUUUCGCACAUACCGUCCACUCUCGGAAAAAUAACACGUCAGCCCGGCGACACUCGAUUUUUCAUUUUCGAGUUACUUUUUUGCGGAAAUGAUACUUGCCUGUAGCACACGAGAGACGCUCAGUCUCGCUCGGUCGCGUUAGUGGAAGUAAGGAUGAAUUGCCGCGACGUAAAAGCGCAUCGCUGUACGGUGGCGGCUGAUGGAGCGGGGAAAAAAAUUGUAGCGAGAGAUGAAAGCCGAAGAACCCUCGCGUGAAGGGGGGAAAAAGUAUUGACGCGGAAAAAAGAAUUCCGCACUCCGUCGUAUUAACGAUUAAUAGAGGCGGGCGGGCAUUUCUUUCGUCGCCUGAAAAUCUUUUCGCAUUCACCUCUUUUUCUCUCCCUCCCUCCUUCCCCCCCCUCUUUCACUCUCUGCUUGGCGAUGCGAAGUAACUCGGGUAUUGUAACUUCGCACGUAACUGGAUUCUCGAAACUCGAAGAGCAUUAAAAUGGAAGAAGUGAAGUGCGAGGAAACGAAUUAAGUGCCGACUCUUGAAGGGGGUGGCAUGGACAAUAUUCUUCAGCGACUCGAUACUUAACAAACAGCUAUAUUUCAUUUACAGCGAUCGCGGCUCAAAGAUUUAACUCCGGUGUGCCUCCGGUACGGCGACGCAACAUAGACCAAUUCAGAUAUGACGCUGCACCCCGAUAACUUUGCCCUCCAUCAUGCCCGUCCGACAUCUGGUGCUUUGUAUAUGUCGCCGCUUCAGUAAAUUUUUAUUUUCGAUAUACAAUAAGUGAUCCUGAGCUACGGCAUAAAACUUACGCCGCGAGGAGGAGAUCACUUCCAUAAAAUAAAUUGCGAGGGUUUGAGGGGUAGAGGUACGAUCGUAAAAUUUGAUUGCUUUCUAAAACGCGCUCCGCGCUAAGCUUUACAGGCCAGACAAUUAAAGCGCGCCUCAUAUACCUUCGACGCGCGUAUUAAAUAGAUAUUGAAACUAUAAACGUGGUGGAGGAGAUAGUGCGCGCGCGUUCGCCAAUUUAAUUGCUGUUGCCGAUUGCAUAUACAUUCUCGUUGUAGCUGCGAGGACAUUUCGCUGUAAUCCGACGUGUAAAAGCGAAAUUUCUAUCAGAUAUGAAUCGAAUAUCGUACGUUUUUUUACGUGACGUUAAAUUAAUUUUGUUAACAUACACGCGCGCUGUGUGUUGAUAUCCGAGAGGUAAUAGCAUUGACAACAAAAGAAGAUUAAACGAAAACGCGCUUAACGCGACCAACGCGGUUGAUCCGGAAAUAAAAUUUCUGCGGGGAUGAAUUUUUAUUAUUGCCACACGGAAUUCCACAUUUGGCUGGCGCGCCACCAGGAAAAUAAUAACGUAACAUUUCACCACGAGCCGAUAGACAUCUUGAUGCCUGCGUAGUCGUUCGAGGAGAUAUUACGGUCGAUAUUUUGGUACGGAAUCAAGGCAUUAAAGAUUGUUCAUGAUACCUUUAAGAGCCAGAUAAACGGAAUAAGGAAAUUUAAUAUAUUUAAUAUAUCGAAUAAGAAACAUUAUAUGAACUAUUUCUUAUUCUCGUUCUUUGUUACUCUGUUUAUUUGUUGGCUGGCCCUUUAAGCCAUGAGCCAUCACAUCCAAAUUGUAAGAGAACUAGUUAUAGUAUUUAUUAAAAAA
Molecule: long non-coding RNA, 11649 nt
Filed under: Monomorium pharaonis (pharaoh ant)
Lineage: Eukaryota; Metazoa; Arthropoda; Insecta; Hymenoptera; Formicidae
Description: uncharacterized LOC118646491
Source: RNAcentral